AACGAACGCUGGCGGCAUGCCUAACACAUGCAAGUCGAACGAGACCUUCGGGUCUAGUGGCGCACGGGUGCGUAACGCGUGGGAACCUGCCUUUAGGUUCGGAAUAACUCAGAGAAAUUUGAGCUAAUACCGGAUGAUGUCUUCGGACCAAAGAUUUAUCGCCUUUAGAUGGGCCCGCGUUGGAUUAGCUAGUUGGUGGGGUAAAGGCCUACCAAGGCGACGAUCCAUAGCUGGUCUGAGAGGAUGAUCAGCCACACUGGGACUGAGACACGGCCCAGACUCCUACGGGAAGCAGCAGUGGGGAAUAUUAGACAAUGGGCGAAAGCCUGAUCCAGCAAUGCCGCGUGAGUGAUGAAGGCCUUAGGGUUGUAAAGCUCUUUUACCCGAGAUGAUAAUGACAGUAUCGGGAGAAUAAGCUCCGGCUAACUCCGUG
Molecule: ribosomal RNA, 433 nt
Filed under: uncultured bacterium
Lineage: Bacteria
Description: partial 16S ribosomal RNA
Rfam family: Bacterial small subunit ribosomal RNA
Source: RNAcentral